Molecule: long non-coding RNA, 517 nt
Organism: Suncus etruscus (white-toothed pygmy shrew)
Lineage: Eukaryota; Metazoa; Chordata; Mammalia; Eulipotyphla; Soricidae
Exons: 4
Source: RefSeq, a predicted model, not a curated record
CAUACACCAAAGGAUACACACAGGAGAGAAGCCCCAUGUUUGUGGGGAGUGUGGGCGAAGCUUCAGUCAGAGGUCACAUCUCGUCAGACACCAAAGGAUACACACAGGAGAGAAGCCCUAUGUUUGUGGGGAGUGUGGGCGAGGCUUCAAUGAUAGGUCACAUCUCAUCAUACACCAAAGGAUACACACAGGAGAGAAGCCCCAUGUUUGUGGGGAGUGUGGGCGAGGCUUCAGUCAGAGGUCACAUCUCGCCAAACACCAGAGGACACACACAGGUGAGAAGCCCCAUGUUUGUAGGGAAUGUGGGCGAGGCUUUAGUCAGAGGUCAAAUCUCAUCACACACCAAAGGAUACACACAGGAGAGAAGCCCCAUGUUUGUAGGCAAUGUGGGCGAGGUUUCAUUCAUAGGUCAAGUCUCAUCAUACACCAAAGGAUACACACUGGAGAGAAGCCCCAUGUUUGCAGAGACUGUGGGCGAGGCUUUAGUCAGAGGUCAAUUCUCGUCAGACACCAGAGG